AAUAUGCAUACAUAUAACGUGUCCGGUUUAACCGAGAACAGUUAAAUACAUACCUCAAAUAUAUGAAUCAUACAAAAAAAUAUUUCAGACAAGAAUCGUAUGAUACUGAGGUGGACGUACUAUGUAAGCGUACCCUUGUUUAUUUGACCUUCCGAUCACCUAUAAAUGGGUUUUGGAGGCCGUAUUAAAUUUAACAAAUAGAAACUUACAUUUUUUAUUACAUAUCCUUGUAUGUAGUUGAUAUAGAGGCGUUUUCAAAACUGCGAACUCGUGUUUCUCGCAUCACCCAUCAUCGGAGUAUGACCUUGCAAAUUCGACAUGUCGACGGCAUUAGCGUCAUUCGAUGUACACCACAGGGUCACAUAAACACGUUUUUCAUAAUGUUAUCACUGGUAUGGCUUGCCUGUAUUGCUCUGUCGAAUUCGAAAGUUCAUA
Molecule: unclassified non-coding RNA, 435 nt
Filed under: Bombus terrestris (buff-tailed bumblebee)
Lineage: Eukaryota; Metazoa; Arthropoda; Insecta; Hymenoptera; Apidae
Description: misc RNA ENSBTSG00005029416.1
Source: RNAcentral